AGGGAGGGGUUGGUUGGUGCUGAAGUAUUCUUGGCAUUGGUUCCAGGUCUAUUGUAUUUAUUGUUCAGAGCUUUAUUGAGCCUUGCGGAUGUACUUAAUUUAUAAGACCAAACCCAGGUUGAUGGGAGAAAGCUUACUAAGUUUUAUUUUUUAAAUGGCAAUUAUCCCACUUCCAUACUAAUCCUUUUAAAUAAUCAAUUGUUGCAUUCACUUUGUUGAAGCUGCAUUCUUUACUGAGGAACACAUUGUCAACAACCAUGUGAUCAUUAAACAUUUGCUUGAUCAUUAUGGCUAAUCUUUUUUCUAUGUAA
Molecule: long non-coding RNA, 311 nt
Filed under: Phoenix dactylifera (date palm)
Lineage: Eukaryota; Viridiplantae; Streptophyta; Magnoliopsida; Arecales; Arecaceae
Description: long non-coding RNA (PDAC_LNC018359)
Source: RNAcentral